UACCAGCACCCCCGAGUGGUCGGGACGAUUAUUGGGCCUAAAGCAUCCGUAGCCGGUCUUGCAAGUCUUCCGUUAAAUCCAGCUGCUUAACAGAUGGGCUGCGGAGGAUACUACAAGGCUAGGAGGCGGGAGAGGCAAACGGUACUCAGUGGGUAGGGGUAAAAUCCAUUGAUCUACUGAAGACCACCAGUGGCGAAGGCGGUUUUGCCAGAACGCGCUCGACGGUGAGGGAUGAAAGCUGGGGGGA
Molecule: ribosomal RNA, 247 nt
Filed under: uncultured bacterium
Lineage: Bacteria
Description: partial 16S ribosomal RNA
Rfam family: Archaeal small subunit ribosomal RNA
Source: RNAcentral